Molecule: ribosomal RNA, 2637 nt
Filed under: Mycobacteroides abscessus subsp. abscessus
Lineage: Bacteria; Bacillati; Actinomycetota; Actinomycetes; Mycobacteriales; Mycobacteriaceae
Description: bacterial LSU rRNA
Rfam family: Bacterial large subunit ribosomal RNA
Source: RNAcentral
CUUGCUUGUUGGGGUUGUAGGACACUCUAUACGGAGUUACAAAAGUAUAUAUUAGACGAAUCAUCUGGAAAGUUGAAUCAAAGAAGGUAAUAAUCCUGUAGUCGAAAAUAUAUACUCUCUUGAGUGGAUCCUGAGUACGACGGAGCACGUGAAAUUCCGUCGGAAUCUGGGAGGACCAUCUCCUAAGGCUAAAUACUCUCUAGUGACCGAUAGUGAACCAGUACCGUGAGGGAAAGGUGAAAAGUACCCCGGAAGGGGAGUGAAAGAGAACUUGAAACCGUGUGCUUACAAGUAGUCAGAGCCCGUUAAUGGGUGAUGGCGUGCCUUUUGUAGAAUGAACCGGCGAGUUACGAUUUGAUGCAAGGUUAAGCAGCUAAUGUGGAGCCGUAGCGAAAGCGAGUCUGAAUAGGGCGUUUAGUAUUUGGUCGUAGACCCGAAACCAGGUGAUCUACCCUUGGUCAGGUUGAAGUUCAGGUAACACUGAAUGGAGGACCGAACCGACUUACGUUGAAAAGUGAGCGGAUGAACUGAGGGUAGCGGAGAAAUUCCAAUCGAACUUGGAGAUAGCUGGUUCUCUCCGAAAUAGCUUUAGGGCUAGCCUCAAGUGAUGAUUAUUGGAGGUAGAGCACUGUUUGGACGAGGGGCCCUUCUCGGGUUACCGAAUUCAGACAAACUCCGAAUGCCAAUCAAUUUAACUUGGGAGUCAGAACAUGGGUGAUAAGGUCCGUGUUCGAAAGGGAAACAGCCCAGACCACCAGCUAAGGUCCCAAAAUAUAUGUUAAGUGGAAAAGGAUGUGGCGUUGCCCAGACAACUAGGAUGUUGGCUUAGAAGCAGCCAUCAUUUAAAGAGUGCGUAAUAGCUCACUAGUCGAGUGACACUGCGCCGAAAAUGUACCGGGGCUAAACAUAUUACCGAAGCUGUGGAUUGUCCGUAGGACAAUGGUAGGAGAGCGUUCUAAGGGCGUCGAAGCAUGAUCGCAAGGACAUGUGGAGCGCUUAGAAGUGAGAAUGCCGGUGUGAGUAGCGAAAGACGGGUGAGAAUCCCGUCCACCGAUUGACUAAGGUUUCCAGAGGAAGGCUCGUCCGCUCUGGGUUAGUCGGGUCCUAAGCUGAGGCCGACAGGCGUAGGCGAUGGAUAACAGGUUGAUAUUCCUGUACCACCUAGUAUCGUUUUAAUCGAUGGGGGGACGCAGUAGGAUAGGCGAAGCGUGCUAUUGGAUUGCACGUCCAAGCAGUAAGACUGAGUGUUAGGCAAAUCCGGCACUCAUAAGGUCAAGCUGUGAUGGGGAGAGGAAAUUGUUUCCUCGAGUCGUUGAUUUCACACUGCCAAGAAAAGCCUCUAGAUAGAUAACAGGUGCCCGUACCGCAAACCGACACAGGUAGUCAAGAUGAGAAUUCUAAGGUGAGCGAGCGAACUCUCGUUAAGGAACUCGGCAAAAUGACCCCGUAACUUCGGGAGAAGGGGUGCUCUUUAGGGUUAACGCCCAGAAGAGCCGCAGUGAAUAGGCCCAAGCGACUGUUUAUCAAAAACACAGGUCUCUGCUAAACCGUAAGGUGAUGUAUAGGGGCUGACGCCUGCCCGGUGCUGGAAGGUUAAGAGGAGUAGUUAGCUUCUGCGAAGCUACGAAUCGAAGCCCCAGUAAACGGCGGCCGUAACUAUAACGGUCCUAAGGUAGCGAAAUUCCUUGUCGGGUAAGUUCCGACCCGCACGAAAGGCGUAACGAUUUGGGCACUGUCUCAACGAGAGACUCGGUGAAAUCAUAGUACCUGUGAAGAUGCAGGUUACCCGCGACAGGACGGAAAGACCCCGUGGAGCUUUACUGUAGCCUGAUAUUGAAAUUCGGCACAGCUUGUACAGGAUAGGUAGGAGCCUUUGAAACGUGAGCGCUAGCUUACGUGGAGGCAUUGGUGGGAUACUACCCUAGCUGUGUUGGCUUUCUAACCCGCACCACUUAUCGUGGUGGGAGACAGUGUCAGGUGGGCAGUUUGACUGGGGCGGUCGCCUCCUAAAAGGUAACGGAGGCGCUCAAAGGUUCCCUCAGAAUGGUUGGAAAUCAUUCAUAGAGUGUAAAGGCAUAAGGGAGCUUGACUGCGAGACUUACAAGUCGAGCAGGGUCGAAAGACGGACUUAGUGAUCCGGUGGUUCCGCAUGGAAGGGCCAUCGCUCAACGGAUAAAAGCUACCCCGGGGAUAACAGGCUUAUCUCCCCCAAGAGUUCACAUCGACGGGGAGGUUUGGCACCUCGAUGUCGGCUCAUCGCAUCCUGGGGCUGUAGUCGGUCCCAAGGGUUGGGCUGUUCGCCCAUUAAAGCGGUACGCGAGCUGGGUUCAGAACGUCGUGAGACAGUUCGGUCCCUAUCCGUCGUGGGCGUAGGAAAUUUGAGAGGAGCUGUCCUUAGUACGAGAGGACCGGGAUGGACAUACCUCUGGUGUACCAGUUGUCGUGCCAACGGCAUAGCUGGGUAGCUAUGUAUGGACGGGAUAAGUGCUGAAAGCAUCUAAGCAUGAAGCCCCCCUCAAGAUGAGAUUUCCCAACUUCGGUUAUAAGAUCCCUCAAAGAUGAUGAGGUUAAUAGGUUCGAGGUGGAAGCGUGGUGACACGUGGAGCUGACGAAUACUAAUCGAUCGAAGACUUAAUC